GAUGAACGCUGGCGGCGUGCCUAAUACAUGCGAGUCGAGCGAACAGACGAGGAGCUUGCUUUUCUGACGUUAGCGGCGGACGGGUGAGUAACACGUGGAUAACCUACCUAUAAGACUGGGAUAACUUCGGGAAACCGGAGCUAAUACCGGAUAAUAUAUUGAACCGCAUGGUUCAAUAGUGAAAGACGGUCUUGCUGUCACUUAUAGAUGGAUCCGCGCUGCAUUAGCUAGUUGGUAAGGUAACGGCUUACCAAGGCAACGAUGCAUAGCCGACCUGAGAGGGUGAUCGGCCACACUGGAACUGAGACACGGUCCAGACUCCUACGGGAGGCAGCAGUAGGGAAUCUUCCGCAAUGGGCGAAAGCCUGACGGAGCAACGCCGCGUGAGUGAUGAAGGUCUUCGGAUCGUAAAACUCUGUUAUUAGGGAAGAACAAAUGUGUAAGUAACUGUGCACGUCUUGACGGUACCUAAUCAGAAAGCCACGGCUAACUACGUG
RNAcentral lists this ribosomal RNA (497 nucleotides) under uncultured bacterium. Its description in RNAcentral is "partial 16S ribosomal RNA". It matches the Rfam family "Bacterial small subunit ribosomal RNA", at positions 28 to 507 of the family's 1533-position model. The record is from RNAcentral.